RNAcentral lists this long non-coding RNA (689 nucleotides) under Solanum lycopersicum (tomato). RNAcentral describes it as "long non-coding RNA (SLYC_LNC000462)". Lineage: Eukaryota; Viridiplantae; Streptophyta; Magnoliopsida; Solanales; Solanaceae. The record is from RNAcentral.
GGUGGAAAACAAACAUUUCGAAUUUGGGACAAUAUUCAUUACAUAAGAGAAGGUGGAUAGUCCUACUACACACACUUGAUCCCUAAAAGAGAAGGGAAAAGUAAAACCAUAAAACUACUAUACUAACCUUUCUAAUGAAAGUUAUGAAGUAAAGGCUUCCACAACUUCAGUUACAUUGUGACCUACCUCUCCUACCACCAAAACGGCCACCACCCCUGUGAUUUCCUCUCCGACCACCACCAGAAUGAGCGCCUCGAGUGAAGUUUGGAGAGACAUUAUUAUUGUUCUGUCCUGAUUUUGGUCCAUUCUCGGGCACCUGACCUCCCAAAUUCAUCGGUGGAGGAGUAAAUUGGCCUGGUAUGCUCAUUGGAGAAGGUGAUUGUCCUUGAUUGAAGUUUGGAGAGCCAUUAAUGUACCCAGGAACCACAGCAUUUGGUUGUGAAUUGUUGUUCUGUCCUAAUUGCGGUCCAUUCGCUGGUACCUGACCUCCCAAAUUCAUCGGUGGAGGAGUAAAUUGGCCUGGUAUGCUCAUUGGAGAAGGUGAUUGUCCUUGAUUGAAGUUUGGAGAGCCAUUAAUGUACCCAGGAACCACAGCAUUUGGUUGUGAAUUGUUGUUCUGUCCUAAUUGCGGUCCAUUCGCUGGUACCUGACCUCCCAAAUUCAUGGGUGCAGGAGUAAAUUGGCCUGGU